Molecule: ribosomal RNA, 477 nt
Filed under: Streptococcus anginosus
Lineage: Bacteria; Bacillati; Bacillota; Bacilli; Lactobacillales; Streptococcaceae
Description: bacterial SSU rRNA
Rfam family: Bacterial small subunit ribosomal RNA
Source: RNAcentral
GACGAACGCUGGCGGCGUGCCUAAUACAUGCAAGUAGGACGCACAGUUUAUACCGUAGCUUGCUACACCAUAGACUGUGAGUUGCGAACGGGUGAGUAACGCGUAGGUAACCUGCCUAUUAGAGGGGGAUAACUAUUGGAAACGAUAGCUAAUACCGCAUAACAGUAUGUAACACAUGUUAGAUGCUUGAAAGAUGCAAUUGCAUCGCUAGUAGAUGGACCUGCGUUGUAUUAGCUAGUAGGUAGGGUAAAGGCCUACCUAGGCAACGAUACAUAGCCGACCUGAGAGGGUGAUCGGCCACACUGGGACUGAGACACGGCCCAGACUCCUACGGGAGGCAGCAGUAGGGAAUCUUCGGCAAUGGGGGGAACCCUGACCGAGCAACGCCGCGUGAGUGAAGAAGGUUUUCGGAUCGUAAAGCUCUGUUGUUAAGGAAGAACGAGUGUGAGAAUGGAAAGCUCAUACUGUGACGGUACU